GACGAACCACCCAAACGUUAUUCGGAAUUACUGGGCUUAAAGGGUGCGUAGGCUGUGCGGAAAGUUGGGUGUGAAAUCCCUCGGCUCAACCGAGGAACUGCGCCCAAAACUGCCGUGCUCGAGGAAGAUAGAGGUAAGCGGAACUUACGGUGGAGCGGUGAAAUGCGUUGAUAUCGUAAGGAACACCUGUGGCGAAAGCGGCUUACUGGGUCUUUUCUGACGCUGAUGCACGAAAGCUAGGGGAGCAAACGGG
RNAcentral lists this ribosomal RNA (253 nucleotides) under uncultured bacterium. Its description in RNAcentral is "partial 16S ribosomal RNA". It matches the Rfam family "Bacterial small subunit ribosomal RNA", at positions 524 to 776 of the family's 1533-position model. The record is from RNAcentral.